Molecule: long non-coding RNA, 1180 nt
Filed under: Macaca mulatta (Rhesus monkey)
Lineage: Eukaryota; Metazoa; Chordata; Mammalia; Primates; Cercopithecidae
Description: lncRNA (ENSMMUG00000051438.1)
Source: RNAcentral
ACUAUCCAGUUAAUCUGAGUUUCCAUCGAACAACCUAUCUUGUGUUGAAUCAGAGAUCAUGUCUCAAAUCUGGUCUCCCAGCUAAAACUGACAGCAUACAAUCUGCCAAGCCUGGAAGGAGAAAGAAUAGAAACCUUAUUACUGGAAGCAUUGUUUACACUUAUAAACUCAAUGCUACGAAUAAGAAUGGUGAAGAGUCCUCACGCUUUUGAAAUGGAGAUAAUUGAUUGAUUUUCUAAUAUUGAUCAUUUGCAAAACAAUACUCAUAUAUAUUGCCUGAGACUGAUGCCGCAAGUCAACGUGAUAGUUGGCCACAUCGCUUUAGAGAUACCCCUCAUCAUGCCCAGUACUGUUCCCUGUUACCUGUGCAUUUGCCAUGCCCUUGGUGUGACGCACCUGCAGGAAGGCGAGCAAGACGGUGCAGAUGCAGAGCCCAUAUGUUUCUCACAUUAGGAACACAAAGAGGCAGGGCAAUACGUGUGUGAUGCAGGGGCUCAGACAUGGGACUGGGCUCCCUAGGCCACCUCUGAUGGAAACUCCAAGAUGCUAUGACUUCCCUGAGAGCUCGUCUGCCAGGAAAUGCCAGCCUCAGCCUAGAGCAAAGAGGAGCCUGACUCUAUGGGGGCAAGUCUGCGAGGAGCCUGACCCAACAUGCGUGGGUGCUGCAAGGGGCGCUCCUGAGGCCAGAGGUUGUGCAUUUUCCAGGCGGGUGCAUGACUUGACUUUCUCUGCUCAUUGAGCCAAGGCCUGGCUCUGGUGGAAACUGCCCGCGUCAUGAAGGGCUUACUUAUUUCAUCACAGGCCCGAGCCAGGCCAACACUGGCACUGUAGCUGCCUGCUGGAGUGAUUCUUCAAUCCACAUGAAAUCCUGAAAGCCUCUCCUUAGAGACAUUAAUUAGCCCCCGAUUAAUGCUGGGCAGAAGCUUACCCUGAUAGAGAGCAGGAUUAGCUCCAGCUCUGGAGGCUGCCACCCAUCUAUCUGUAAAUUGCCCAGCAAACCAUGAAGAGGCUUCGGUCCUUUCUUAUCAAAGCAAUAAAACAGCUCAGUGUGGAAAUUACAGGGUCUUUGGAGGUUUGCUGAUUUCCUUGGCCUUUCAUUGAGGACUGUCCCCAAUCUGGCGUCCCCAGCUGUGUCUCUGGCUCUCUCCCAUUCCUCACCAGGGCCUAAUCGCAAUGCCCA